Molecule: ribosomal RNA, 669 nt
Filed under: Salmonella enterica
Lineage: Bacteria; Pseudomonadati; Pseudomonadota; Gammaproteobacteria; Enterobacterales; Enterobacteriaceae
Also listed under: 1 other name
Description: partial 23S ribosomal RNA
Rfam family: Bacterial large subunit ribosomal RNA
Source: RNAcentral
CCGCAGGGCGCUUUGCGCGACAGCGCAAAGGCAGGCGGUUUCGCGUAGCGAAAGCGAAUGCUUUGGGGUGGGGUGACUGCGUACCUUUUGUAUAAUGGGUCAGCGACUUAUAUUCUGUAGCAAGGUUAACCGAAUAGGGGAGCCGGAGGGAAACCGAGUCUUAAUUGGGCGUUAAGUUGCAGGGUAUAGACCCGAAACCCGGUGAUCUAGCCAUGGGCAGGUUGAAGGUUGGGUAACACUAACUGGAGGACCGAACCGACUAAUGUUGAAAAAUUAGCGGAUGACCUGUGGCUGGGGGUGAAAGGCCAAUCAAACCGGGAGAUAGCUGGUUCUCCCCGAAAGCUAUUUAGGUAGCGCCUCGUGAAUUCAUCUCCGGGGGUAGAGCACUGUUUCGGCUAGGGGGCCAUCCCGGCUUACCAACCCGAUGCAAACUGCGAAUACCGGAGAAUGUUAUCACGGGAGACACACGGCGGGUGCUAACGUCCGUCGUGAAGAGGGAAACAACCCAGACCGCCAGCUAAGGUCCCAAAGUCAUGGUUAAGUGGGAAACGAUGUGGGAAGGCCCAGACAGCCAGGAUGUUGGCUUAGAAGCAGCCAUCAUUUAAAGAAAGCGUAAUAGCUCACUGGUCGAGUCGGCCUGCGCGGAAGAUGUAACGGGGCUAAACCAUG